AACGAACGUUGGCGGCAUGCCUAACACAUGCAAGUCGAACGAGACCUUCGGGUCUAGUGGCGCACGGGUGCGUAACGCGUGGGAACCUGCCCUUAGGUUCGGAAUAACUCCCCGAAAGGGGUGCUAAUACCGGAUAAUGUCUUCGGACCAAAGAUUUAUCGCCUUUGGAUGGGCCCGCGUUGGAUUAGCUAGUUGGUAGGGUAAAAGCCUACCAAGGCGACGAUCCAUAGCUGGUCUGAGAGGAUGAUCAGCCACACUGGGACUGAGACACGGCCCAGACUCCUACGGGAGGCAGCAGUGGGGAAUAUUGGACAAUGGGCGAAAGCCUGAUCCAGCAAUGCCGCGUGAGUGAUGAAGGCCUUAGGGUUGUAAAGCUCUUUUACCCGGGAUGAUAAUGACAGUACCGGGAGAAUAAGCGCCGGCUAACUCCGUG
This 433-nucleotide ribosomal RNA is filed under the name uncultured bacterium. RNAcentral describes it as "partial 16S ribosomal RNA". It matches the Rfam family "Bacterial small subunit ribosomal RNA", at positions 29 to 507 of the family's 1533-position model. The record is from RNAcentral.